Molecule: ribosomal RNA, 451 nt
Filed under: uncultured bacterium
Lineage: Bacteria
Description: bacterial SSU rRNA
Rfam family: Bacterial small subunit ribosomal RNA
Source: RNAcentral
GAUGAACGCUGGCGGCGUGCCUAACACAUGCAAGUCGAGCGAUCUUCUUCGGAAGAGAGCGGCGGACGGGUGAGUAACGCGUGGGUAACCUGCCCUAUACACACGGAUAACAUACCGAAAGGUAUGCUAAUACGAGAUAAUAUAAGAAAUUCACAUGUUUUCUUAUCAAAGCUGAGGCGGUAUAGGAUGGACCCGCGUCUGAUUAGCUAGUUGGUAAGGUAAUGGCUUACCAAGGCGACGAUCAGUAGCCGACCUGAGAGGGUGAUCGGCCACAUUGGAACUGAGACACGGUCCAAACUCCUACGGGAGGCAGCAGUGGGGAAUAUUGCACAAUGGGCGAAAGCCUGAUGCAGCAACGCCGCGUGAGCGAUGAAGGCCUUCGGGUCGUAAAGCUCUGUCCUCAAGGAAGAUAAUGACGGUACUUGAGGAGGAAGCCCCGGCUAACUACGUG